RNAcentral lists this long non-coding RNA (7715 nucleotides) under Triticum aestivum (bread wheat). RNAcentral's name for it is "long non-coding RNA (TAES_LNC014869)". The record is from RNAcentral. Lineage: Eukaryota; Viridiplantae; Streptophyta; Magnoliopsida; Poales; Poaceae.
GAUAGAGGAGAUCAUAAUGAAGAAGUGGGCGUUGGUUUCGUUGGAUUUGGACAAACGAGUAAAAAGUUACGGCUAUUUGAAAAAUCAGGGCCAAGCUGUUUUACGAAAGAAAAAAUAGCUACGGGCUAGGGUCUAAUGUAUAAAUAUGUAGACUAAUUGAUAAUCUAGUUAUUUUAUCGUAUUAGUCUAAAAAUAAUAAACUACGGAAGUAUAAGAAAAAAAAGAUACCUUUAUAAGGCAGAGAAAAGAUGACUUUGGAGAGAAGAGAAAAUUUCUAGAAGUCGCGCCGGAGAGGAGAAAUAUAUUUUUCUUAAAUGAAUCUAGUCAAACCAAAAUAUUGAUUUAACCCGAAUCGGAUGAUUUUUGGAGGCUCUAUGGGUCUAUAUUUAUUGGUGGAAAAGAGGCUUAGAGGUCAAAAGCUAGGCAAUGUGGGACUAAAUGUAGACGAAAAUAUACGAAACAGAGAUGAAAAGAGGCGAGCGGCUCGCAUGGGCCUAAAGGACUUCGGCCGGCCGCGUGCACGCUGCUGCUGCAGUUUUUUUUACAAAAUUCGGCCUAAGAAAAAAAAUAAAAAAAAAUGAAAAGGCUGCCUGGGCCUGGUCUAUUUAAGGGAGAAAAAAAAGAAUGGGGCGCCAGAAGCUACUAUACUGCGCAUGUAGGCGAUAAAUAAAUAUGGGCCACACAUACAGUUUUCUUUAAAUAGAAACAGAAGGAAAACCAAAUAAAAAAUAAAAUAAAAAUUUUAUAUAGGCAUAUUAUAUAUCAAAAGUUUCAGAAAAAUAUUUUCUAUGACAUGGACAUUUUUUAUAAUGCCAAAUAAAAUCCACACAAAUUCAGAUAAUUCAAAGAGUGCUACUAGUCUAAUGAAAUCCAAUGAAAAUCAUUUUAAAAAAUACGAAAAUGAUUUCAAAUUUACUUUUUUUCUCCAAUUUUCUAUUGUAGGGAAUCAUGUUACCCUAUUUUCCAUGUAUUUUGUUUUUGGAGAAAAAUAAUUUGAAUAAAACUCAAAUAACCCAAAUUGAAAAUAAUAAUAAUUUCAAAUGGAUUUUAAAUUUGAGUUUCUUUGAAACUCCCAACUCAUAUUUCAUUUGUUUUGAAGAAGUCAUUUUAUCUUCUCUCAUGAAAAUCAUUGAGUUGCUUAAAGUUUCAGAACUGGAAAUAUUUUCAGAUGAAAUUCAAAUAUUUUCAACACCCCUAUUUAAAUAAAUGGAAGAAGUCAUGUUAUCUUCUCUCUAGGGUUUCGUGAUGAAAAGAAUUUGAAUUCACGGAGAUCAAAAUGCAAAAAGGUGAAAGUUUGGGAAAGUCCUUUUAUUCCCUCUCAUUUAACUUUCAAAAAGUUUCCAAUUUCACUCAAUCAAUCACACAACAAUCAAACAAACAUUCAAUCUAUCUAUUUAUUAUAACAUUCCAAAAUUUAGAAUUUUGGGAUGUUACAAACCUACCACCCUUAAAAUGAAUCUUGUCCUCGAGAUUCGGAGAGGCUAGCAAGAAAAGGUUAGGGUUUUGGGGGUCUCCUCAAAAUCCAUCGAUCGUCUCCGGGGUCUCGGGUGCUACCACCCUUUGAAGCAUGGUUACGGUUCCAUCAAAACUCAUAUACUUCAUCCAUAUUGUUAACAGUGUCGGUCUUCUCAGAUCUUCAGGAUAAUUCCUUAUCUGGGCUCUUUCGAUAGUGGCAUAACCUUUUCCUCAAUUCUUCUGUCUUUCAUCUUGGUAAGGUUCUUCUGUGACUGGGUCUUCUUAGCUGACGGGUCUGGCGCCAAAACUAAACAACUAUCGAUAUCUCAUGGUGGUCAACAAUUUAUGGUUCCUUCUGCGAGAAAUGGGUCUAGUUGAUCCUCACCGUAUAACCUACGGUUGGCAAAAGCUGCCUUGUAUAAGGGAAAAAUUUCUUAUACCAUUCUAAGGUUUAAACAGGGUUUUGAUCGUCGUCUCUCUACUAUAGGUAAGUCACUCAGAUUUACCAUCCCAUAUAUCAAGGCGAACAAUAAGAGUAAGUCGGUAUGGUGAUCAAUCCAUCCCGCACCCAAAUCAUUACCUUAUAUACGGUUUAGCGAAUCUCGCAUUCUAACACUCGGUCAUCCUCACAAGCAUUGCAGAAUUUCUCUUGUCAACGAACCAAGUUCGGAUAAAUCCAUUGGUUCUGCAAGCCAAACAAACAUCUAUCGGUCCUUCACAACUCUCAGGUUUGCGUUACUCCUAUAAAAUCAUCUGUCGGUAAACGUAACUUCUUCUAGGGUUUUUCCUUCAACAAGAGUGUGCUUGCUCCUUGGCAGGUCCUGGGGCCUGUGGGUUAUGGCCCAUCUCAUCACUUGUAGUCCUUGAACUUAUCAUCGGGCAACUGAUCAUUAUUCCAACUUCCAACUUCCUAGUAUUCUUAAAUCCAUCCAAUUGUAUUGUCUUCCUUCCUUCUAUUGGCACCAAACUAGGACAUGAUUACUCAGACUCAUCAUGGAGUUUCCAUUGAUCCAUAUUUCCGACAUCAUACCUCCUUUAUAUCCAAUAGUAAUUUAUCUCUUCAUCCUCGUGGGAUAUCCCACAUACCGAGAUAAAAACUUAUACUUAUGGAGUCCAUAUUCCACUCCGUGGAACAUCAUUAUCCUUUCCAGUGUCAAGCGUCCUUAUAGGGGAAUAUUGGCCAUCUCUGCAUGGCACUUCUUCAACUGGGAAACAUGAAACACAUCUUGAACUCCUGUCAGUCCUUCGGGUGACUCCAACUUGUUGGCCACUUCUCCCAUACACUCCAAAACUCGGUAUGGUCCUACAAAUCUCGGGGCUAACUUUCCCUUAACUCCAAUUCGUUUAACUCCUCGCAGAGGGGACACACGAAGACAUGCUCUGUCUCCAAUUUCAUAGACUACCUCCUUGUGUUUUUUUAGUCCGCAUAACUCUUCUGCCUGGACUGAGCUACCUUCAGUCUAUCUCGAAUCAACUUAACAUUCUCUUCUGACUCCUUGAUCACAUUUGGUCCAACAACUGACGGCCUCCAACUUCAUCCCACAUACUCUUGGGGCAUCACACAUAUCGAGACAAAACUCAUAUUCAUUUUGUCUGAAAUCCACUCAGUGGAGUAUCCUUAUCUUUUCCAGGGGUCAACGAUUCUUACAGGGUACUACCACCCUUAAAAUGCACAAAUCUUCCAUAGACCACAUUUCUCAUAUCCUUAGAAUGGCCAAAAUUCUUCUUCAUAGAGUAACAACUCAUAAAAUCCAUAUCAGUACCAACGAUGCUAACUUUAUUCAUUCUCAAGUGAUUACAAUCUCUCGCUUUUCCAUUACAUGUCUCAACUCAACACCUCAAUAUAAAAGAAAAUGUUCUCACUUCUACUACUCCAUUUCUUUUGUUGCAAACUCAACUAUCUAGCACAAGUUUCCUUCUCCUUGGGGCAUUCUCUGGCAAAGUGCCCUGCUCCAUUACAACUAUAACAUAUUACUUCUGACAAGUAUCAAGGUUUCCUUUUUGGGCAAUUGUUGAGGUAGUGCCCUGACUCCUUGCACCUGUAACAGGUGAUAUGACUCAGGUCCUUCCUGGAAUCCAAUCUGCUUCUCUUCCUAGACCUUUCCAUGCCAAUCAUGGCUUCUAUUUCUUGUGGGUCAUAUUCUACUUCCUUUGUCGGGAAUUAUACUAGAUCCCCAUUCAAACAAUUUUGGGAGAUGUGUCCUUCUUCUCCACAUGAAUAGCAAGACUUAGUGUAGGGUUUACUCGGGUCUUCUUUAGGUGUGUCCUCCAUCCCUUCCUUCAUCACAACUUCUUCUAAAAUUUCCAUGAGGGCUCCUUUCAUUACUUCUUUCUUCUGCUGGAUGGUUCGUUGUACCAUGGGGUAAAUGUGACACUAAGCAGGAUAGUGGGUAGUCCCUUCACACAAGAAACAAGUAAUCUGCCUAGUUGGGCAUUCUUCAACUGGGUGACUUCCUUCACAAUUAGGGCAUUCAUCCUUGUGUUCUUUAUGGGUGUGUCCUAUUUCUCCACAAAUCUUGCAUGCACAAGGUUUCUUCAUAUCCUUCCCAUAAGGCUUCAACUUCUGGGACACAAGCCGAGACUUUGGCAGAGUCAACUUAAAUUCUUUCCAAGUGGUUACUCCUUGCCAUCCAUUGAUGGUUUGGUACAUCCUCCAGCAAGUAGCAACACCUCUUUUAAAGCACUGAAGAUCAUGCUGGGUCAUAUCCUUUCCGACUAUAGGGUUAUUCUUCAUGUGAUCCUCCAUGUUUUGAAUCCGUUGGUCCGUCUCCAAUUGACUCAUCGGUCCAGAAAAUAUAAGCUCAUCUUCAUUCAUCCUCUAUUGGGUCCAUGGGUUUGGGGUGAGAUAAGAGAGAUAGAGAGGGAUACACACAAUACAAACAAAAGUUUUGAAAAGACACAUUUUAUUUGUGGCUGUCGGGAAAAACAUCAAACAAAUGAUAGCUCACAAACGUCGCAUCUAACGUAGGUAUAUAACAGGGGUUUGGUCUUCUAAAGGUCAAUAAAUCUUCAAUGUCUCCAAACUCUUCAAGCCUUGUUCAUGCCUCCAAUGGCUUCUUCCGAUCAUUCUUGUCUUUCUCAAGUUCUUUUGCCAGAUCAACUCUGUUGACGCGAAGUCUCUCGUGACAUCCUUUAAUAUUCUGGAGUUGCAUUCCAAACUUCUGGUUUCAACAUCCUUCGCAUGAACCAUGGUCCUACUGUCCUUCAGUUCCUGACGAAUCUCCGGUAUCUCGAGGUUUUGCUCCUCCAGCUUAGCUACUCUCAUCUUUAGGGUCCUGAGUUCCUCAUGAAAUACUUCCUUGUCUAAUACGGCUUCAUGGAGCUCCACCUUAAACUUCUUGAUGUACUACUCCAGAUCCUGGUGAUACACCGGCUAAGGUUAAAACUUCAUCUUACUAAAAGGUGCUCCAUCAGCCUUCUUCCAUCAAAUCCAUUCUGAAGAAAUGCAUCCUUAACUCAGCACGGUGACAAUAGCAUCAGCGGGCGAUGACAUCACGGGUAACCGUGUUUCUGCUCUUGUCAUUCCCAUGAGCUAUCAUUCUAUAGUUGAUAUCUCCUGCCUUAGGGUUUUCUUUGACAAAACUUCAAGUUCUCAUGCUCCUUGUUUCAGUCUUUCUUCGAUACACCUUGAUCUCGGGUAUUGACAACUUCCAUAGUCUGCCAAGUUCCAUAAGGGUAGCCUUCCUAGGUCAUACAAAUCUGGGAAUUCUUCAGAGCCUUCAAAUUCUACUUGUCUUCGGUCUUCAACCGUUGUAGUUUCCAUUAUUCAGAUGCACGGAAAAUACUCUUCAUUCCGAAGUGGUCUUAGUUGUCCGAUAUCUUGUACUUCUUGGAGUGGUCUCAUUAGUCGAAUCUUCAUGUGGUCAAAAGGGGAAAGGGGUAUGGUCUUACUAAAGGGAAUUUUUGAAUAAGCUCAGAAGAGAAGAGAGGUAAAAGAUCUUUUUGAAAGGGAAAGUUGUAGAGAAAAAUCUUUGCUAUGGGCUUGCCAGUUUCUAGGGACACGUCCUACAGUCAACAUGUGCUCUGAUACCAUCUUGGAGCGAUCCGACCCGAAUGGAUCAAGUCUCUGUGCUUAAGUGUCAUCCCUGGAUCGGUAUGCUGACACACACAGUACUCGAGGAUUUAUAACAGAGGUAAAUCACAUGUAUAAAGUAAUGUAAAUACUAUUACCUCAAUCCAAAAUAGCGCAAGUAACAAGGUUGUGGAUUCCCAUCAACACCAACGACAAAGUUGAGUGUAGAAAUCAUAACCCUAACGUAUCACUUACUCUUCGUAAGAUUCCUACAACAUGAGACAUUGCAGCCACAAAGGCUCAGUACAUUGAAUGUACUGGCAAAUUCACACCAUAGAGAGAAAUGAUGAACAAUGGCUAUCUUUACAUGCAUAUUUGGCUGGUGGAAAAGCUCUAUGGUUAUAAUGUUUUUGCGAAAAGCCAAAUUUUCCCUACUGCAAAGGAAUAAAUUUUACUUAACUAUCAUGGUGGUUGUUGAACAUUGAGAAUGGUUGACAGCAUUCUCAAUCCCAAUUAAGUAACAUCAUUAAACCCAACAAAAUUAAUUUAAAGUAAUGUGAUGAGAUUCACAUGAUAAUCCAAGUACUAGAUACUCAAGACGCCCAUAACUGGGGACACGGCUAACCAUGAUUAGUUUAUACACUCUGUAGAGGUUUGUGCACUUUUCCCCACAAGACUCUAUCGCCUCCGUUUGAUUUCUCGCACUACAUGGUGUUUGAGAAACGGAUGACCGAGACAUAGUCUUUCAGAAGCGCUAGCACCUUACGAUCUGGUAGACCGUUACACCUACUUUCCCCUACAUCUGCUAGUCUACUACUGUAAGAGUUCACACAACUUAAUCAACUAUGCUAGAGCCCAUAAUAGCUUGUGGCUACACACGGAAGUUUCUAGUAUGAAUAAUCUCAUGAUCCCUUUGAGCCUAGGUGGCGGUCCAUAAAAAAACAGGCAAUCCUGGAAUACCCAGGUGCCUAGACAGGCAAUCGCUGGAAUACCCAGGUGCCUCAGUCCACCCAGAUGUGUGUUAAAGUUGCCACCUUAAGUAAACCAUUAAUUAACAAUCUCACAUCUGUCAUGAAAUACUCUCAAACCCAAUCCUUGUCUACGAGCAUAACAUGGCAAUAUAAGCAUAACGUAAUAGUAACUCUCAAGGUUUGAAUGCAGGGCAAUAGGUUCCUACCUCAUCAACUACUUUCCAAUACCCACAUGUUAUCAAUCCUAGUCAUGCAAUGUUUGAGGGUGAAACUAAUGCAUAAACACUGGGUAUGAAAGGGAUAUGAUCAAAGUGUGAAAUUGCCUGCAAUGUUGAUGAAGAUGAUUCACACUCAAAACUCUUGAUAGUUCUACUCGUCACACUCCGGUCAAUCUAUCGUAAGCAAGCAAUAGUAACCACACAUAAGCAAUCACUCAGAAGAUCUGGAAGAACGAAGAAGACAGUUCAGAAAACACCAAAACCAAGCAAAUAACUCUUGCAACAUAAAACAAUUUCUAACAGUACCAAAAUUAUAUGAAUUUGGCCUUAUCAUAAGGUUUAGGUCAAGAGCUUCGAUUUGCAAAAAGAAUCAACUCAAACGGAGCUACGAAACUCAAGUUAUCAUCAAACGAAGUUUGAAUUCAAAUAUCAUCUAAUUCAAUGUUUAAAUUUUUAAAAACAUGUUUGGGUUGGAUUACUGGAUAGAGGAGAUCAUAACGAAGAAGUGGGUGUUGGUUUCGUUGGAUUUGGACAAACGAGUAAAAAGUUACGGCUAUUUGAAAAAUCAGGGCCAAGCUGUUUUACGGAAGAAAAAAUUGCUACGGGCUAGGGUCUAAUGUAUAAAUACGUAGACUAAUUGAUAAUCUAAUUAUUUUAUCGUAUUAGUCUAAAAAUAAUAAACUACGGAAGUAUAAGAAAAAAAGAAAGAUACUUUUAUAAGGCAGAGAAAAGAUGACUUUGGAGAGAAGAGAAAAUUUCUAUAAGUCGCGCCGGAGAGGAGAAAUAUAUUUUUAUUAAAUGAAUCUAGUCAAACCAAAAUAUUGAUUUAACUCGAAUCGGAUGAUUUUUGGAGGCUCUAUGGGUCUAUAUUUAUUGGUGGAAAAGAGGCUUAGAGGUCAAAAGCUAGGCAAUGUGGGACUAAAUGUAGACGAAAAUAUACGAAACAGAGAUGAAAAGAGGUGAGCGGCUCGCAUGGGCCUAAAGGCCUUCGGCCGGCCGCGUGCACGCUGCUGCUGCAGUUUUUUUUUACAAAAUUCAGCCUAAGAAAAAAAAUAAAAA